This is a small nucleolar RNA of Gossypium raimondii (Peruvian cotton), 106 nucleotides long. It matches the Rfam family "Plant small nucleolar RNA R71". Rfam says of the family: R71 is a member of the C/D box family of snoRNAs containing the C (UGAUGA) and D (CUGA) box motifs. Multiple nearly identical copies of this snoRNA have been identified in Arabidopsis, and it is thought to function as a 2'-O-ribose methylation guide for 18S ribosomal RNA. NCBI's taxonomy places the organism in Eukaryota, Viridiplantae, Streptophyta, Magnoliopsida, Malvales, Malvaceae. The record is from Rfam.
AAAUUGUGGUGUGGGCAUUUUUAAAUCAGCAUUUUGAAGCGUUCCCAUGCUUCGUGAAAACUCUCCCCUUCUAACUAUUGAAACAUCGAAAUUUCCCUUAUUAUUU